This 1079-nucleotide long non-coding RNA is filed under the name Cyanistes caeruleus (blue tit). RNAcentral's name for it is "lncRNA (ENSCCEG00000001829.1)". The record is from RNAcentral. Lineage: Eukaryota; Metazoa; Chordata; Aves; Passeriformes; Paridae.
CUAACUUCUCUUUAGGCUGCAUAUUUAGUGUUCCUAUACUAUAAUGUAAAGCUUCUAGAAUGUGGUUACUUUUUUAAUCAACUCAUUGUUUUUUAGGCUUACAUAUAUGAAAUGCAUUCAAGCACUUUUUUACAUAAACUGGGGAGACACACAGAAUCUGUAAUCAAUGUCAGUUUUAAUCCCUCAUCUCCACAGUCUUCUCUUUUAUUUAUGUGCCAAUGUGUUGUGCAUCUGUUGGGCUGUUCAUCUACUUCCAGCUGUACUGAGGUUAUUGUGCCAGUUAUAAACUCCUGCAAAAUUCCAUACGAAUACAGAGAAAAAAUGCCCCGAUUAAGAAAGAAGUCUUGCCUGGGAACACUUCUGAGCCUGUACAUGUUGAAUGUUGGGAAAAGGUAUAUGUGAAAUUGCCUGAAUAGGCUCUUAAUUCAGAGAAUGUAGGAGAGAAAUAAGUAGGGACAGGGAAGUGAGAAGGGCCUCAGGCUUGCUGGCCUUACUCAAAGGCCUGAAAGAUUUAAAAAGCAACAUUAUUUUAAGUGUGCUGUGUCAGAAUAGCUAUUGAAAUAACUUUAUCACAAUAUUUUGAAAGACUACUACUGUUGUUCUUUGAGCCUUUUAGAUAUCAAUAGGUGAAAAGUACUUCAAAGAAAUUAGGCAUUAUGCAGUAGCAAUUUCUAUUUUUUUGGUGAUCAUUAUACUGUGCUAACAGCAUUAUAUUUCAAUGUAAUGGUAUAAUUGUAGUGCAGCAAUAUAUACAAAAAAUCUUGUUUUCUAAAUUUUAUUUUGACACCCAAGCUUCCCUGCAACUAAUUUAUCAUGUGGAUUCUUUGCAUGCUGUUUUUUAUCCUAUGGAUUUACCUUCUUUGUUUUCAUGUAUUGAAUUUGCCUUGAAGCAUUAUACUUUCUACUUUUUUUCCUUACUUGAAAGACACAACAGUGGUCACUAUAUAUAUAUAUUUAUGUAAGAGUGGACAGCAGCUUCUGUUUACUUUACUGCCUCCUCACCACUGACUAUACUUGUUACUAUUAAAGAUACUUAAUAGAGUAAAUAAAAUUCCUUUACUUGUAGAAAUAUUGUAACA